RNAcentral lists this unclassified non-coding RNA (402 nucleotides) under soil metagenome. RNAcentral describes it as "partial contains 5.8S ribosomal RNA, internal transcribed spacer 2, and large subunit ribosomal RNA". The stretch from base 1 to 121 matches the Rfam family "5.8S ribosomal RNA", at positions 35 to 154 of the family's 154-position model. The record is from RNAcentral.
GAUGAAGAACGCAGCGAAAUGCGAUAAGUAAUGUGAAUUGCAGAAUUCAGUGAAUCAUCGAAUCUUUGAACGCACCUUGCGCCCUUUGGCUAUUCCGAAGGGCAUGCCUGUUUGAGUAUCAUGAACACCUCAACUCUCAUGGCUUGCUGUGAUGAGCUUGGAAUUUGGGGGUCUUGUUGGCUUGUGAGCCAGCUCCUCCUAAAUGAAUUAGCUUGCCGGUGUUUGGUGGCAUCACAGGUGUGAUAACUAUCUACUCUUGUGGUUUUCCAUCAGGUAACCUCCAGUGAUGGAGGUUCGCUGGGGCUCAUAAAUGUCUCUCCUCAGUGAGGACAGAUUUUGACUGUUUGAUCUCAAAUCAGGUAGGACUACCCGCUGAACUUAAGCAUAUCAAUAAGCGGAGGA